Molecule: long non-coding RNA, 2148 nt
Organism: Siniperca chuatsi (mandarin fish)
Lineage: Eukaryota; Metazoa; Chordata; Actinopteri; Centrarchiformes; Sinipercidae
Exons: 2
Source: RefSeq, a predicted model, not a curated record
CAAUCACAGCAGCCGGGAUUGAUCACAUGACAUUUAUAGGCAUCCGGAAAACGACUUUUGCCCCAGUUUGUUACUUAACCUAACCUCUGCGUUUUACUUCUGCACAUGUAUACUCAACAGUACCGCUGCUACUACCAAUACUACUGCAGAUACUAGUGCACUACAUGGCAGGCCAGAAGCUAUUUAAGGACAUCCCAAACUGACUGACUGGCCGGCCACAGUAUGUAGACUGCAGGGCUGCGUGUCUGACACUGGUGGGCAACACGGGCCCCCCACGGGGGACGGCCCUGUCACCCUUUCUGUUCACCCUCUACACCUCGGACUUCAGGUACAACUCCAACUCCUGCCACCUGCAGAAGUUCUCCGACGAGUCUGCAACUGUGUGCUGCAUCAGCAAGGGGAAGGAGGCUGAGUAUAGUGGACUCCGUUGUGUGAUGUGGGCUGAACCACCUGCAGCUUUACACUCAAAGGAGUUGGUGCGCAGGACUACAAGUACCUGGGAGAACACCUGGACAACAAGCUGGACUGGGUUAAGAGCAAUGGGGCUGCGUACAAGAAGGGCCAGAGCAGACUCUGCUUCAUGUGGAGGCUCCAGUCAUUCAUGUCUGCCAGUGCUAUUUUCUUUGCUGUCGUCUGCUGAGGCAACAGGGCGAGGGCAGUGGACACCAACAGAACCAACAAGUUCAUCAGGAAGUCCUUUCUCCCUGUGGCAAUCAAACGUUACAACUCAUCUACCUCAUGUGCAGAGAUGGACAGCAGAAGCAUGUGGUGCUGAGGUGGCUCCAGCCGCCAUUUCAGCUCUGUUUGUUAAAUCUCUAUUUCUCUCUGCGUUACCGUCUCUCCUUGGAUUACAAUCAUCACAACUUUCUGAUUUAUGUGACAUUACAUGCAAUAUCAUGGGACAUAAUCAUGAACAUUUUGAAUUAACCACAUACACUUGCCUGCACUUCAGAUCUGAUACUGUACAAACAUAGCUAUGCCACUUCUCACACAUCAACGGUCCUUACCGUUUAUAUUUUGGAUUUGCACCUUAUUGAUUUUAUAUUUGCACUCUCCCUACUUUGUAUUGCAACUGCUGCACAACAACCUCCCUCGGGAUAAAUAAAGUUCUUAUCUUGAACCUACUGACAGCUGACAUCCGUUCAAAUCCAAGGGGAAAAGGACAGUAACUACUGCUACUACGGCCCACUGCUGUAGAUGCGACUAUAACAUAAAACAUUAAAGUUAAAAAGUAGCUGAACCUAAACCAGCUAGACUUACAUUUGUACGUUACGCUUAGUGGUAGAGCGGGUCGUCCAUCAAUCGGAAGGUCGGCGGUUCGAUCCCGGCUUCCCCCAGCCCACAUGUCGAAGCGCCCAACGUGUGAUUGAGUUAUUUACUUUGAACUGAUGAGCAGUUGGCACCUGCCAUCAGUGUGAAUGUGAUAUGUAGUUGAAGCGCUUUGAGUAGUCGGAAAAAGAUUAAGGGACGCUAUAUCAGUCCAUUUACCACUAUAUUGUGUAUACUUCUGAGACGAAACUGCAAGAGCACUUUUGAUCAUUUGGCACAUGAUGUUGAUACUUUGUGUAUUUUGUUAAAUACCAAAAUGCACAACUUCUAGCUGUAAUAUAGGAGGCACUGCUUUAACUAAAGUCAAAGAUCUGAAUAUUUCUUACACCACUGGUAGUCUGACAGGAGCACUUGUCUUCAGAUCGACACGCUGCAGCCUUCUCUGAGCUCAGCCUCUGACCUUUUGUAUUAGGAGCCAUGUGUUUACUAAUGAAGUUGAGAAGAACUGUCAAUUGUUUUUUUGCUUUAUUCACCAUCAAUCAAAACAUGUAGUAAGGGUUUAAAUAUUACUCUGAGCCUCUGAAAGGAGGAGUCAUGUGUCCCCACACCUUGCAGAUUAAACCCAGAAUGGCAGCCCAGCCACUUGACAGUUUGAGUUUUAACCCCUGUGGCCAAGAUUAGAUCCCCAACAAUAAACAGAGUGUAAAGCAGUGACAGCAGACAGUUGUGGGACGUUCGGAUUUUAUUGACGUAUCAAACAGCUGUACAUCUAUUUGCCUUUCUUGGCCUUGAUCUUCCUCAGGUAGAACUCGAGCUCUUUGCCUUCCAGGAUGUAGCCGUCUGCCCUGCCGCACUGGCCAGGUCUGGAGGCGAUACAAG